This 654-nucleotide unclassified non-coding RNA is filed under the name Helichrysum griseolanatum. Its description in RNAcentral is "partial external transcribed spacer". The record is from RNAcentral. Lineage: Eukaryota; Viridiplantae; Streptophyta; Magnoliopsida; Asterales; Asteraceae.
AUGCGUUGUUGGUGAUGACAUUCGUCUCGAGGUGAUGCGGUGUCAUGUUGCCUGUGUAYCCUGGUUUUGAGCUAUUUGAGCUUAAAAUAUGUGGAUUAUCGGUUAGUGAUACGGCAUCGCUCCCUUGGUUGAUGAAAGUCGUCCAAUGAUGUUGUGGUUUGUUUGUUUUCUUCUCGCAUCGCUCGGUGCAUUCUGGGGUCAUUUUGGCUGUUGGCAGCUUGCUUGGCAAUUGAGCUUGGUGGGUUGCUGCUGGUUGGGUGUCUUUGGGGAUGUCUACCGUAAAGGUGCAUGAGUGGUGUUUGGUUUGUUACGGGUGGUUGGCUCUUUGCUUGCGCAACAACUUCUACCUGGCAUACCUCUUCAAUCUUGUGUCAAUGCUUGUAUUGCAUUGAAUGCACGACGGGUUUCUUGUGUUGCAUGCCUAAUUAAUGGUAUCAUUUGAUGAAUUGGUUUUUCUUUCUUCUUGCGUUGCCUGUGCGAUGUGAGAUGAACCUUAAAGCAGCCUUUGUGAUCCACUCUUUUGAUGCAUAUGCAUUUAUUUUGUGGCCCAUUGAGUGUUGCUCGGUCUCAUGGAUAUGGAACCUGGUGUGGGCAUGGAAUCCUAAUGGUUCCUUGUUUGCCCAUGUUUAGCUUUUCUAAAACGAUUGUCUAUCA